Planococcus citri (citrus mealybug) is the source of this 3142-nucleotide long non-coding RNA. RefSeq lists it as uncharacterized. The record is from RefSeq and is a predicted model, not a curated record. NCBI's taxonomy places the organism in Eukaryota, Metazoa, Arthropoda, Insecta, Hemiptera, Pseudococcidae. The transcript has 2 exons.
CCGAACUGAUUGUAUAUGUAUGUACAUGCACACGAAAUUGUGUUUACUGUCUGCAGAAAAUUCGUUCAUAAUCAUAUAAAAAUAUGUAUAACAAGUGGUUCGUCUGGCAAAGUAUUUUUUUUAAAAAUAAUUUAUUAUGUAUGGUUCUAAGUAUAUUGCAGCCUAUUAUCUUUAUCACAAAAAAGAUGAAAAGUUAAAUUUUUCACUCUGUUGAUUGCAAUGUAUAAAAUGAGAUGAGCUUGUGAAAUGGAAAUUUGCAUCUUGUUGUUGAAUUUUCAAAGUGUAUCGUAGAAAAAUUAUACAUUUCGUAAAUGAAAAUAAUAUCGUGCAGUUUCAUUCAGAUGAUAUAUACCUACUUUUACGGGUACCUGUACCUUGUUAAUUGAGUAAGACUAAGGAUUACCAAAUUAUCCUAUCUGCUUUUGGUUUUCCAUUUUUCUCCUGAUUUUCGCAUCGAAGACGGAUCUACAAGGAAAAAGAAUUAAUGAUGGAGGUAUUGAAAUUCAUUAUUUUAACGUGGCUCGCAAGCUUCGUACCUGCAGCAUAUUGCCAAAUGGGAAAUUUUAGCUCAGAAGCGAUUUGUAACAUCACCAUCUUCAAACAAGAUGGCCCUUAUUCUCGAGCUGUAUCAAACGUACUGCAAAAUAAAAUGGUAGACAGGUGUCCCGAAAAUUACACAAAUGAAACUAUCAUUACCAGUUGUGAACAUUUCAACUCUUUGAAAAGUCUGGAUUCAGACUUAUACAUUCCGGUAACAGACAACAUUACGAACAUUACCUACGUGAAUAAAUAUUGUGGCUAUUGUAAUAACUACGAGUACAAUGGUACCAAUUGGGAGUGGAGGUGGAGUACUUGGUCCCCUACAUUCGUAUACCUGGAAAACCAAGACCCAUGCGAAAACUACACUUCCGAAAUAAAGGCAUCUGAGGUCAAUGACCUUGACAAAUGGACGCAAACUUUUCUAAACAAUGGAUUGCUGACACUGAAAAUCACAUCAUAUUCCAGAACUUUGGAGUGCUCCGGGAAAAAGAACUGGCCAAUAAAGUUGUUAUACUGGGAGAUUCCUUGUUUAGUACAAAAUUAUAAAAAUGGCCAAGACACCAGGUUGAAGUCGUGUCAAUAUUUCGAUGAAAAUGACAAAAGUUGCAUGAAAAUGGAUUUCAUUAUCGAAGGGAUCUCUUUUCAUUAUGGUUCCAAGUCAUACUAUCAUUUAUCACAAAUAAAUCUAACCGGAGGUGAUUAUAUAGUCCAAAGUGGAAAUGAAGACAUAUUCUAUAUGUGUAAACAAAUUUACAAGGUUGGAUACUGGGGUAAAUUUGCACUCAUUAUUGCUUCUGUAGCAUUUCUGUGUGCUUAUUUAAUCAUGAACUUAAAUAAAAGAUAUUUUGAAAAUUUCUCAAACCAACUUUUGUAUGUUUACUCGAUAGGAUUGAUAAUAAUGAGUGUACUGCUUACCUACAUCUAUCUGAAAUUUCCAGUUUCCGAUGUUUCUUUCUAUCUCGUUAAAAUUUUUUGGACUUAUCACUUCCUCUGGACGGUGUUAAUUUUUAUUGUAUUUUGUAAUUUAGCGUUCUGCCUUUGCGAUCGGUGUGAAAGUGUAACCAAAGAGAAUAUAAAUGCAUGCGAUUCAUUACUUGCUUUCCUUUUUGGCCUCGUAUUACCCGUAUCCUUAACACUAAUGUAUCUCCACUUCUUAGGAACUUAUGAAAAUCAGUGUCCUUUAAUUCCUGGGCAUACGGCUGUGCCAGUCGUAUCUCGUGGAAAUUUAGAAUUUAUGAAAUUCGUCUUAGAUACGAGCUUAUCUUACUUAAUGCCUAUACUAUUUGUUGUGGGGAUACUUUGCUCACUGAUUGAUAUGUCAUGUGAUCAAGUGAGAUCUGCAACGUCUAUAAGAAAAUCUCCGAUGGUUUUAUUCAAAAUGGUGUUGAUUAUGGGUAUCCACUGUAUACUGUAUAAACUUUGUUCAGGGUAUUAUGGGAAUGAAAAUACGUACACUGUUUUUGGUCUAUCCAUAAAUAUGGAUACGGUGGCACAGUUCAGUAUUGAUAUUCACGGUGUGCUUGUAUUUUUCAUUUUCUUAACAAGGAAUACCAUGAUUAAUGAUUUUUUGAUAAAGCGUGGAUAUAAACGGGGAAAUACUACCCAACAGAAUUGUAAUGGUGCGACAGAAACCACUGUUCAAUUUCAGUCUUGAUGUGAGACUAAAAUCGUGUUUUUCUCAAAUAAUGUUCCAAUUGCCAGUUGUUGAUAAGUAAGUAGGUACCUAUACAUAUUGUUACCCAGGUACCGCAUUUUAUUUCAAGUAAAAACAUGUUAUGAUUAUUUCCAUAUUGUCAGUACAUAUAAAUAAGAAAAUUAUGUGCGAGUAUUAUAAUUUUGAAAAUUGGGAAAAAAUACUUCUAAGAUUUAAUGAAAUGAAUUUCUCGAAUUGUAACUGUCUAAAAUAAUUUUCAAACAAUUUAAGUACCUAUGCAUUUUUUUUUUCAGACUUGAGAUUAUAAAAUAAAAAUAAAUUUGUUUUAAGACACUUUGCAUUUAUGGGGUGAUAUUUUUGUACUUAUUAUGCAAUGAUUUUUUUUUGUAUAUUUUUGAUUUAAGUUUGUUUCAUUGUUGUUUUUUUUUUUUAAUUUUUAAACAAAAUAUACUUAGGUAUAUUAAUACAUGCAAUUUCUUUUCAUUUAUUUUAAUAAGUUCAGUGCUUAUUCUUCAAUUUAAACCAACUGUAGAAUUUUGUAUCUAUCCAAAGUUGCAGCUAUGUUCCUAAACCUAUGUGAGAAAAUACAUUUUUUGACCCUGAUAUGUUUUUGUGUUGCGGUGUUUGUUCAAAAUUUUUCAAGAGUCAAUCUAUAUUUUGAGAUUCACUACAUAUGUACUUCUCUUUUUUUAUAGGUACCUACAAAAAAAAAAAAAAAAAAAACACCAAUUUGAUUGCUGCUGUUGUAUAUUGAAUGAAAUAGAUUUAUCUUUUACAAAACAUAUUCUCAAGUACCUAUACUUAUUUAUUGUAUAAGUGUACAAUGUACAAAUCACAUUUUCUAUGGUAUGUAGGUAGAUCAAGCACCUAGUACAAUAUUUACAUCGUAAUUUUAUAUUUUGUUUUAUUUAUUAUAAACUUAUUUAUAAGUUAAUUAUCCGAUAAUAA